AUUCGACAAGACUAAACCAUCCGUGAGGAUGGGACGGAAAGCCUAGGGUCUCACCGAGACAGCCGGGAUGCCGAA
RNAcentral lists this non-coding RNA (75 nucleotides) under Geobacter pickeringii. RNAcentral's name for it is "c-di-GMP sequence". It matches the Rfam family "c-di-GMP-I riboswitch aptamer". Rfam says of the family: GEMM was predicted in a large-scale screen for bacterial structured RNA regulatory elements. Genes associated with GEMM are involved in a diverse array of functions, including chemotaxis regulation, signal transduction, secretion and chitin. Lineage: Bacteria; Pseudomonadati; Thermodesulfobacteriota; Desulfuromonadia; Geobacterales; Geobacteraceae. The record is from Rfam by way of RNAcentral.